This 273-nucleotide long non-coding RNA is filed under the name Eucalyptus grandis. Its description in RNAcentral is "long non-coding RNA (EGRA_LNC003108)". Lineage: Eukaryota; Viridiplantae; Streptophyta; Magnoliopsida; Myrtales; Myrtaceae. The record is from RNAcentral.
GGGGUUGAUGUGUUCCUGUGUCGUCGUCCGAGGUCUUUGCCGGUCGGACGUGCGGGACCAAAUGGAUCGUGUGUGUUUAUCCCAUUGGCUUUCGCACGAUGUCUCAGACGGGUCAAGGCGUGCUGUUUCAUUUCUCGUUAUAGAAAAUUCGGAGAGAAUCCGAUCGGCACAGAUCCCCGCGACGGCUCGCGAGGAUGUGCUACUUGAUGAGUCCUAGAAUUGGCGAUUUUCCUGAGAAACGGGCGGCGAGGUCGAAGCUGCUGGAGAUGUUGA